AGAGUUUGAUCAUGGCUCAGGACGAACGCUGGCGGCGUGCUUAACACAUGCAAGUCGAACGAUGAAGCCUUUCGGGGUGGAUUAGUGGCGAACGGGUGAGUAACACGUGGGCAAUCUGCCCUGCACUCUGGGACAAGCCCUGGAAACGGGGUCUAAUACCGGAUAAUACCUUCCCUCGCAUGGGGGUGGGUUCAAAGCUCCGGCGGUGCAGGAUGAGCCCGCGGCCUAUCAGCUUGUUGGUGAGGUAGUGGCUCACCAAGGCGACGACGGGUAGCCGGCCUGAGAGGGCGACCGGCCACACUGGGACUGAGACACGGCCCAGACUCCUACGGGAGGCAGCAGUGGGGAAUAUUGCACAAUGGGCGAAAGCCUGAUGCAGCGACGCCGCGUGGGGGAUGACGGCCUUCGGGUUGUAAACCUCUUUCAGCAGGGAAGAAGCGAAAGUGACGGUACCUGCAGAAGAAGCGCCGGCUAACUACGUGCCAGCAGCCGCGGUA
This 497-nucleotide ribosomal RNA is filed under the name uncultured Actinomycetes bacterium. RNAcentral's name for it is "bacterial SSU rRNA". It matches the Rfam family "Bacterial small subunit ribosomal RNA", at positions 8 to 522 of the family's 1533-position model. Lineage: Bacteria; Bacillati; Actinomycetota; Actinomycetes. The record is from RNAcentral.